UACGGAGGGUGCAAGCGUUAUCCGGAUUUACUGGGUUUAAAGGGUGCGUAGGUGGAUCGGUAAGUCAGAGGUGAAAGCCCCAAGCUUAACUUGGGAAUUGCCUUUGAAACUGUCGAUCUUGAGUAUAGUUGAGGCUGGCGGAAUGAGCGGUGUAGCGGUGAAAUGCAUAGAUAUCGCUCAGAACACCGAUUGCGAAGGCAGCUAGCUAAACUAUUACUGACACUGAGGCACGAAAGCGUGGGUAGCAAACAGG
This 253-nucleotide unclassified non-coding RNA is filed under the name uncultured Chitinophagales bacterium. Its description in RNAcentral is "contains 16S-23S intergenic spacer region". It matches the Rfam family "Bacterial small subunit ribosomal RNA", at positions 524 to 776 of the family's 1533-position model. Lineage: Bacteria; Pseudomonadati; Bacteroidota; Chitinophagia; Chitinophagales. The record is from RNAcentral.